UGAGGAAUAUUGGUCAAUGGGCGCGAGCCUGAACCAGCCAAGUCGCGUGAGGGAAGACGGUCCUAUGGAUUGUAAACCUCUUUUGUCGGGGAGCAAGAAAGGGUAUGCAUACCCCUACUGAGAGUACCCGAAGAAAAAGCAUCGGCUAACUCCGUGCCAGCAGUCGCGGUAAUCGCUCUGU
Molecule: ribosomal RNA, 181 nt
Filed under: uncultured bacterium
Lineage: Bacteria
Description: partial 16S ribosomal RNA
Rfam family: Bacterial small subunit ribosomal RNA
Source: RNAcentral